This 484-nucleotide ribosomal RNA is filed under the name uncultured bacterium. Its description in RNAcentral is "partial 16S ribosomal RNA". It matches the Rfam family "Bacterial small subunit ribosomal RNA", at positions 30 to 507 of the family's 1533-position model. The record is from RNAcentral.
AUUGAACGCUGGCGGCAGGCCUAAUACAUGCAAGUCGAGCGGACGAAGGGGGCUUGCUCUUCGCUUCCGCGGCCGACGGGCGAGUAAUGCCCACGAGUCUGCCCGGUCGAGGGGGAUAAGGUCCGGUCACGGGAGCGAAUACCGCAUCCGUCCAGAGGGUGAACGUGGGGGAUCAUUGGAGAUAACGCUAUUUGAUGAGACUAGGUCGGAUUAGCUAGUUGGUGAGGUAAAGGCGUACCAAGGCGACGAUCCGUAACAGGUCUGAGAGGAUGAUCAGUCACACUGGAACUGAGACACGGUCCAGACUCCUACGGGAGGCAGCAGUGGGGAAUCUUGCGCAAUGGGCGAAAGCCUGAUCGAGCCAUGCCGCGUGUGUGAAGAAGGUCUUCGGAUUGUAAAGCACUGUAAGUAGGGAAGAAGGGCAGUGUGUUAAUACCUGGCUGUUUUGACGUUACCAACAGAGAAAGCACCGGCUAACUUCGUG